AAAAGGAAACUGCUCAAUAGGAAGCACUAGGUUAUUGACUCUGACAUGGAAGCUGCAGGGCGGUGUCCUGGGGGUCCCAGGGGUUCCUGGCUCCAUCGGAACUGAGGAGGAGGCCUGGAAUCUAUACUGGAAAACACGCCUGAGAGAAGCAGGACCUGAAGGCAGGAGAACCAGCACCACAAGGAUGAUGCCAAGAUCUGCCACCAGCUCAAGCAGUAGCUGAAUGCCCUUUCACCACAGCUGCAGUGGCCUCUGAGUACCUGGUGAAACUGAGCAUGCUCAAGAUGGCUUUCUAAACUCGGAGAUUUCAGAGGAAGGAGAGGACGGAACAUGCUGGCGAGGUGCAGAUAGGCUCCUUCUGUGGCUAAUCGAAGAAAACCUCCCUCUGGUUGCCCAGAGAAGCAGGUGCAGGUGGACGGGCCCACGGGUUCUGAAAAAGGCAAGGCAGGUGUGUGGGUGGGAGCCAGCAGCCAGCCUACCAGGAGGCUGGGGAAGUCUGUGAAUUCAGAAUAAAUACUGUCA
Marmota monax (woodchuck) is the source of this 522-nucleotide long non-coding RNA. RefSeq lists it as uncharacterized. Lineage: Eukaryota; Metazoa; Chordata; Mammalia; Rodentia; Sciuridae. The record is from RefSeq and is a predicted model, not a curated record. The transcript is spliced from 3 exons.